RNA transcript from Cyprinus carpio (common carp), 356 nucleotides. RefSeq lists it as uncharacterized. The transcript has 3 exons. The record is from RefSeq and is a predicted model, not a curated record. Lineage: Eukaryota; Metazoa; Chordata; Actinopteri; Cypriniformes; Cyprinidae.
GGUUUACCUGGAUCUGGAGGUGUCUUUGGAGCAGGAGCUGUACCAGGAUUGGUAGGAGGUCCUUGCGUUCUGCCUGGAGGGCUUGGGACUGGUGCUGGAUAUGGAGGCAUUGGUGGGUGAACCUGCUGAUUUGUUCAUUUGAUUCUAAAUGAAGGGUAUGGAGCAGCACAAAAACCACCUAAAUAUGGUAAACCACUUAUGGUAUUUAAUUUUUAUAAUUAAAAUGUCACGUGUACAGGCUAAGAACUGACCCCAUGCAUCUCCAUCUAAUAGGACAACUAGCUAGUCAUAAUUAUCAGACUUACCUGUUCCAUGUUAGUGAUUGGCGGUCCUGAUGGUGCAAUUCGUGGUGGUGG